GCCUACGGGGGGCAGCAGUGAGGAAUAUUGGUCAAUGGCCGGAAGGCUGAACCAGCCAAGCCGCGUGAAGGACGAAGGUGCCAAGCAUUGUAAACUUCUUUUGUCAAGGGACAAAAUCAGGCUCGAGAGCCUGACCGAGGGUACUUGAAGAAAAAGCAUCGGCUAACUCCGUGCCAGCAGCCGCGGUAAUACGGAGGAUGCGAGCGUUAUCCGGAUUUAUUGGGUUUAAAGGGUGCGUAGGCGGGCUGUUAAGUCAGCGGUAAAAGCCCGGGGCUCAACCACGGCGAGCCGUUGAAACUGGCUGU
RNAcentral lists this ribosomal RNA (305 nucleotides) under uncultured bacterium. RNAcentral describes it as "bacterial SSU rRNA". It matches the Rfam family "Bacterial small subunit ribosomal RNA", at positions 337 to 640 of the family's 1533-position model. The record is from RNAcentral.